This is a long non-coding RNA of Ruditapes philippinarum (Manila clam), 5088 nucleotides long. RefSeq lists it as uncharacterized. The transcript has 2 exons. NCBI's taxonomy places the organism in Eukaryota, Metazoa, Mollusca, Bivalvia, Venerida, Veneridae. The record is from RefSeq and is a predicted model, not a curated record.
AUAGGUCAAGUUUUAAUGGGAAUAUUAUAUACAUUGCAUACAACUAUAUGUUAUAUAUGUAGAGUUAGCAAGAAUAUUAUUUUUCCAGGUUUGCAUAAAAUCAUAUGAAUUAAGAGGUUUUUUUAUAUUUGGGGGAAAAAAGCCAAAACUGGAUCAUUUCUUAAAAAUUUUAGGUUAUACAUGCAUUUAAGUAGCAGGAAUGAAUGUAAUAGAACCUUAGCAAGAGAAGCUGGGCAGUUUCAUAACAUGUUGCUUGGGAGUUUCCUUGGCAACUGGGUCACAAUGAAAGCCCGUAAAAAUAAAACAAGGGUAAUAGUAAAAAAUAAAUUCAUUCACAAUUUCUAGUAGUCUAGUCAAGAGUCCUAAUCAUUGUGAAAUAAACAUUUAACUCCUAUACACUGUGUAUUCUAUAGCAGGUGUGGACCCAGGAUUUUUCAUCAGAGUGGGUCACAAAAUUUUGAUAAAAGUUAAUGCAUAUUCCAAAGGUUGGUUGAUAUUUUACUUAUUUUCCAUAGGGCUCGUAUUUCGUGACUCACUUGUUAUUGCUUGAUGUUCAUAAAAAAAAUUACAUAAGUUGAUAUACAAAUCUCGUGGGAUUCAUCAUACUAGCCCCAGGGGUGGUGGGGGGGUUUAUAACCCCCAAAACUACCACUCUGGAUCCUCGCAUGUUUUGUUAAUUGUUUAUUUGACUAUGGUUAUGACGUGUGUCUCUACGAUUUACCUCCCUGUUGUAUAAGUUUGCAUACAGCAUUCACUUAUUUAAUCAUUCUCACUAACAUAUUAGCAUUUGCAUUUAAUUACUUCUUGCCAUACCAUUAUCAUAAAUAGAUUUCUUCUUUUUUGUUUGUAGUUUGCUUAGUUUUAUAAGUUAUAAGGUUAGUGCAGGGUUUUAUCAAACUAUUACAUAUUAUUCUGGAAUAUAACCAUUAUUUUCUCACAUUUUCUCAUCUAUUCUGUUUACACCAGUUGAAGACACUACAUAUUUCACGCCAUUUAUUUUACACAUAAAAUUAGUUUGUUUACUAGACAUCACAGGUUUACAUAUAUUUUACACUUAUACUGGGUGUUUUUUGCUUCUAAUGAACAAAUAUCUUUUUGACCUGUCUAUAAGGCUAAGAUUUAAGUUAUAGCCCUCUUAAUAGUUGGUGAAUAGCCCGUCUUAUAACUGAGUGCAUAGGGCAGUUGUCCUGCAUGAUAUGAUAACAGUAUAAGGCAAGGCCUGUCUCACAUCAGUGGAGUCUUACCUGGCUCUAUUCUCCUGACUGAUUUAAUGUAAAUUUUAAUUUGGAUAUCCCCCAAAAUUGUUAAUGGACAGUUCCAUAAAUGUUAUCUAGACUAGUCCAUUUAAGAAACUUGGUUAAAAUGUGAAUAUUUUAGUAUAAAUUUGAGCCAAUUUAUCACUUUUAUAUAUCCAUUAAAUCAUUUAUUUUGAAAACCCGUGAGGUUACAGUAUUCUUUUUUACUCUUGGUCAAACUGACCCUCAUCUUAACAUCUUGACAAUUUGUGGUGAAAUACAUGAAAUGUUCUCAUUUUCAAACAUGUAUGUUUAACUUUACAAUGUAACAUCAAAUUUUUCACAAUUUAUGCUAAAUGUAAAAAAAGAAUGGAUUGAAUCAUACAUGUCCAUUUCACCUUGGUCAUUACAUUGAGUGGGAUAUCUUAAAACAUAACUAUUAUUAUAUGCAUAUUUCCUUUCAUAUUCCGGGUAAUAAAAUGUUUCCUUAUUUUACUUUUUAUUUUCAUGAAAAUAUUAUGGUUGCGUAAGACAUAAAAACAAAAACAAAAUUUCUGUUUGGUCUGCACCGUUUGCUAUAUCUUUCAAUGUAUAUUUUGAAUUUUUUCCCCUAAAAAUGAUAAAUGGUUUUGUCCAGAUUAAAAGACGGACAAGUCCAUUUAACAUUUUUAGCGUGAUAAGGGUUACAGACAAAUUUUCAAUCACAUGGUUGUCCCUGAUUAAAUAUCUGUCAUUUUUACUCAUUGAGUUACAAUAAUAACUUCUUUUUUACUGAAUUACGAGUUUUUUUACAGCAUAAAUUUGGUAAUAGUGAAUCAAGAUGAACUUUUUUGUGUGUGUGUAAAAUAUAUCUACCAUUUUCUGUAUCAUGUACAUGACAAAAUGUUUUUUACUUCAUUUAUUACAUGUAUAAAUGUGUAUUCUUGGAAUGUUGAUUUUUUUUUUAAACAUUGAUUUUUUUUCCUCUAUAAUUUAAGUGUGUUACAGAAUUUCAUUGUAUAUGACAUAAUGCAUGUAUAUUCUGUUGAAGGCAAGAAAUUUGCCAUGUAUUAACUAUACAGCAUAUGACUGGCUGCCCCUUGAUGAAGUUGAAAUGUGACUGAAGUGUUUUACCGUGUAUUGUAUAUAUGAACUAUAUAUUUGAGCCUAGCCAUGACAAAACCAACAAAGUGCAUUUGCGACCAGCAUGGAUCCAGACCAGCAUUCACAUCUGCGCAGUCUGAUCAGGAUCCAUGCUGUUCGUUUAUACAAACCCUUUUACAAGUAGAGAAACUGAUCGUAAAUAUCAUGGAUCCUGAUCAGACUGCGUGAAUGGGCAGGCUAGUCUGGAUCCAUGCUGGUCGCAAAUGCACUAUGUUGGUUUUGUCAUGGCGUGGCUCAUUCCUUGUUUUUACUUUGUGUAUCAUAUUUUCACCUUAUUUGGUGCUUUCUUUUGACUGAAGGUUGGUUUACCCUUAACCUGCUGAAUUUCGAUAAUGGAUUUGCCCAGCUUUGAAUUUGGAACAGUCCAUUCAAAGUAUAAGGGAUUUCGAUAUCAAAAUACAGAAUUUUAGAGUUAUCAGCAAGUAUAGAGCCUGGUCAGACAUCUUGGAAGGCUGGCCUGGUGAUACUGAUGGUAAAGGUUUAACACUUCAGGUUCCAGCAGGUUAAGGGUUAAUUGAGCCGUGUCAUGACAAAACCAACAUAAUGGGUUUGCGACCAGCAUGGAUCCAGACCAGCCUGCGCAUCCGCGCAGUCUGAUCAGGAUCCAUGCUGUUCGCUAUCAGUUUCUUUACUUGUUAUAGGGUCUGCCAGCGAACAGCAUGGAUCCUGAUCAGACUGCGAGGAUGCGCAGGCUGGUCUGGAUCCAUGCUGGUUGCAAACCCAUUAUGUUGGUUUUGUCGUGAAGCGGCUCAAUUUUAAAUUCAGUUCAGGACUUUUAGACUUUAGAUGUUCAAAAUAGUGUACUGCAUAAAUUUGUUAUUCACAUUUUAGAAUAAGGUAAUAUUUUCCUCUUUUUUUUUUCCAAGAUUUUUCUUUUUUAAUGAAGGCAAUAACUAAUGAUGUUUAUUUACAUUAUAUGAACUUUACAACCAUUACAUUGACAGUUUGAUUUAAAAGCAAGCCCCCUUUAAGAUAUAUUGAUGCAUUGACAUUGACCAUGAUGAAAGUCAAUAUUUUUACUACUUAGUAAUCAUCAACUGUUUUAAAUGUAUUAAAGAAUUAUUAAAUUUUUGGGUAAGUUUAAAAUAGUUUUUGAACAUGAUCUGUUAAGAUUCUUACAGGUUCAUUCAUAUUUUUUUUUUUUCUUUUCUUGUGCCUAGAUAUGUAUUCAAGAUAAUCUGGUAGUGUUCUUUUCAUAGUAUUUACUCAAACCCUGCUGGAAAACAAAAAUGAUUAGCCUUUGCCAUCAGUAUAGAGCCAGGCCAACCUGUAUAUCUAUGCAGUAAGGCCUGGCUCAACACUAAGCAGAUUCAAAAUGUUCAUCUUGAUAUACCCAAGAUUGAUAAUGGACUGUUCCAGAAAUGGAAGCUGGACUGGUCCAUUGAAGAAAUUCAGCGGGUAAUGGGUUAACUGUACAUAUUAUAAUCACUGCUAAAAAUGUAAAAAUGUGUUCACCAUUACAAUAUGACCCCCCUUUGUUGUUGAGUGAAAUCUUGUAGCACACAUGUACUUGCAAUAUACUGCAUGAAAUAAUUCAGACACAAAACAUAUAGGUUCUUUUAUACCAUCAUGUUAACUAAAUUUCCGCGAGAAUUUUGUUUUUUUAGCUGCGAUGAUGUAGUUGGAAAGUUAAGGGAUGUUUAUAAUUUGGUUUCUUUUAUUUUUCUCUGUCUUAUUUAAGGGGAUUGGUUUUGCCAUUAACUAUUUUUUUAUCAAAAUCAAUCAAUCAAUACUUUCAAUUCUGGUUUCUUAUUGGAUAAAACAAAAAUCCUACAGAAUUAUAUGAGCUUUGUAUAACUUUUAUAAAUAAUAAUAUAAAUCAUCAUCGUGUAUUGUAUUCAAAUGAAAAAUGUCAAAAAUCAUAUUGUAUCCGUAGCCAUAAGGUCAAGGUCAGAAAUUGAGAUUAAAAAUUGGGCAUUGUAUACAUCUCAUUGGCAUCUAAUUAACAAAAAAUAAAUAUUUAAACUAAAAGAUUUAUUUAAAUGGAUUGACUGAAUUAUGUUCUCCAUAUUUCACCAGUAUGAGUGAAAUUCUUAGUAAUGUUUGAGCUUAUUUUUUAAUGAAUUAUUAAAAAAAAUAAAAUGAUAUUGUUUUGAAUAAUUGCAUGUAGUCUAUAAGGUGUUUACCCCACCCAUUGAAAAAUUGCAGCAAUUUAUAUUUAGACAUUUUUAUAUGUACAUUUGUAAAUAGAUUCAUCGUCCGUAGGAAAAGACUGUAUAGUAGAGAGGCAGAAAACAGUUUGGUUUUUAUUUUUGACAAGAAAAUAAUAUAAUACAUAUAUUGAUAUUAUUCAAAAAUCGCAAUAAGCAAGGGUAUGAAAGGGUUUGUGUUGAAACUUUUUUUGUUUUAUCAGGGGAGGUAAUUACUUUUGGUUAUCAGGGGAGGUAACUGCUCUUGGUUAUCAGGGGAGGUAAAUAUUCUUGGUAAUCGAGAGAGGUAAUUACAGGUAAACAGGGGAGGUAAUUAAGGAAGGCAAUUACUCUAUGUUAAAAGGGGAAGUAAUUGCUGUAGGUUAUCAGGGGAAGUAAUUAUGAUUAGUAAUGUUUUCAAGAUCUCUGUUGUACAGUUUAUGAAGUGUGUUUUUGUUUUUAUUUCAAGAGUACAUGAAACUGUUACCUGUUAUAUAUAUCAGCUUAGAAACUUUUUGUGUAAAUGGCAUAUUAAUUUAAAUAAAAUGCCUUGUACAGAAUAAAAUUUAAAUGAAGUGAGA